AGUGAACGCUGGCGGUAGGCCUAACACAUGCAAGUCGAACGGCAGCACAGUAAGAGCUUGCUCUUACGGGUGGCGAGUGGCGGACGGGUGAGGAAUACAUCGGAAUCUACUUUUUCGUGGGGGAUAACGUAGGGAAACUUACGCUAAUACCGCAUACGACCUACGGGUGAAAGCAGUGGAUCUUCGGACCUUGCGCGGUUGAAUGAGCCGAUGUCGGAUUAGCUAGUUGGCGGGGUAAAGGCCCACCAAGGCGACGAUCCGUAGCUGGUCUGAGAGGAUGAUCAGCCACACUGGAACUGAGACACGGUCCAGACUCCUACGGGAGGCAGCAGUGGGGAAUAUUGGACAAUGGGCGCAAGCCUGAUCCAGCCAUACCGCGUGGGUGAAGAAGGCCUUCGGGUUGUAAAGCCCUUUUGUUGGGAAAGAAAAGCAGCAGGUUAAUACCCCGCUGUUCUGACGGUACCCAAAGAAUAAGCACCGGCUAACUUCGUG
RNAcentral lists this ribosomal RNA (492 nucleotides) under uncultured bacterium. RNAcentral describes it as "partial 16S ribosomal RNA". It matches the Rfam family "Bacterial small subunit ribosomal RNA", at positions 29 to 507 of the family's 1533-position model. The record is from RNAcentral.